GUACUGUAUGAAAGGAGAGAAGGUUAGCACUCUCCUUGACAAGGAUAGAAGAGGCCCUUGAACCGAACAACACACAUAUGUUUAAGGAACUGCCAGCCACUUUGUGACAUCUAACCACUGUGUUUA
Small nuclear RNA from Nannospalax galili (Upper Galilee mountains blind mole rat), 126 nucleotides. The record is from Ensembl. NCBI's taxonomy places the organism in Eukaryota, Metazoa, Chordata, Mammalia, Rodentia, Spalacidae.